CGCGGCCACACCCCUGUCUACUUCCAUGUCCAAUAGGUGCGAGAGGGCGGGGCAGCCUCGUUCUGACUGGGGAGGCUAUAUAAGGAGCUACUGGUUGCGCGUCUCGGUCUUUUACGUAGGCCUUCGUGAUCGUUUGGUUGUGUGGUAGGUAAGCGUCGGUGUUGCGGGCGAGUAUUGGAGCAAAAGGUGGAGGUGCAGGCCGAGUUAAGAGUUUUGAUAGUGUGAAACCAUCUUAGUGUAGAGCUUAGGGUGCUGAGAGUUGAAAGCUUGCACGUGGGAAAUGUGCAGCCCGACCGCCACAUGUACUGAGAUUGAGUCGUGACGGCCACAGGCUCCGAGUUUUGGCGUGAGGAGAACGCUGAUCGGCCACGGGUGCCGCGCUUGCUGGCCUCUGGCAUGUGCCUGAACGGCGGCAGAAAAGCCACACUUAAUUGGGGCAGAGGGUUAGUUUUAAGAGCAAGGGGCCUUUACUAAAAUGGCGAAGACCUUCCGUCGGCGUUGUUUUAUAACGGGCAGCCUCAACCCUGCAUUGAGACUGAGCUGUUCGAAGGCGGCGUUGUGUGCAAUUCGGAUUAAUGAAGGGGAAAGGUUUUGUGUGGAAAAACACCUUGGAGUGUGACGUUUCUGCGAGAAUGCUUAUCGGUUUCCCGCAGGAACAAUGGCGCUGUCAUGGCCCAGCAGAGCAGCUCUGAAGAUGCAAAGCAUUCUGGGUGUGGACGAUCAGCCAGUGAAGAUAAUGAAUGUCGGAUGUCACUGACUAGCAGCUUCAUUUUGAAUGAGGGUCGCUGUCUGCCCAUUGAUAAGAGGCCAGAUUGUCUUGGAAGUUCCAAAGUUGCAACUAUUUCUGUAAGUGGAGUUUUUCUGUUUGCUUAG
RNAcentral lists this long non-coding RNA (873 nucleotides) under Macaca mulatta (Rhesus monkey). RNAcentral's name for it is "lncRNA (ENSMMUG00000061913.1)". Lineage: Eukaryota; Metazoa; Chordata; Mammalia; Primates; Cercopithecidae. The record is from RNAcentral.